RNAcentral lists this ribosomal RNA (497 nucleotides) under uncultured bacterium. Its description in RNAcentral is "partial 16S ribosomal RNA". It matches the Rfam family "Bacterial small subunit ribosomal RNA", at positions 28 to 507 of the family's 1533-position model. The record is from RNAcentral.
GAUGAACGCUGGCGGUGUGCCUAAUACAUGCAAGUCGAGCGAAAAGAUGAUGAGCUCUCUCCUCUAAGGUUAGCGAGUGGCGGACGGGUAAGACGUGCAUCAGCUACUACUAAGACUUGGGUGAUAUCGGGGGAACGCAUCCACUAACGGCUCAUAUAUUGUACGGCUUGGAUCAAUAGUGAAUGACACCUUUGCUGACACUUUUAGCUGAAUUCGCGCCGGAUUAGCUAGUUGGUAAGGUAACGGCCUACCAAGGCUACGAUGCGUAGCCGACCUGAGAGGAUGAUCAGCCACACUGGAACUGAGACACGGUCCAGACUCCUACGGGAGGCAGCAGUAGGGAAUAUUCCACAAUGGGCGAAAGCCUGACGGAGCAACGCCGCGUGAGUGAUGAAGGUCUUCGGGUCGUAAAACUCUUUUAUUAGGGAAGAACAAAAGUGUAUGUAUCUAUGCACGUCUUGACGGUACCUAAACAGAAAGCCACGGCUAACUUCGUG